RNA transcript from Hyposmocoma kahamanoa, 1314 nucleotides. It is a transcript of the gene named dynein light chain 1, axonemal-like, with no coding region annotated. Lineage: Eukaryota; Metazoa; Arthropoda; Insecta; Lepidoptera; Cosmopterigidae. The transcript has 5 exons. The record is from RefSeq and is a predicted model, not a curated record.
AUAACAUUUAAAAGAAGAAGAAAAAGAUAAACCAUGGAGUAUUAUUGACAUAACAAAAACUUUAACAAAAAGCAUAGUCAGUGCUUUUCAAGAGUACAAUUUCCAUCCCAAACCAAACUAGAUAUUUUUUUACUUAUUGCAUAGCAGUAUUUAGAAUGUUGUACAUUUUGUCAUGAAUAAGACAGUGGGUUUUCUAUUGGUAGAAAUGACCAUGUGCCACAACACAAUAUUGGUCAGCAAUAUGCUUAACCGAGCUUGCGCGUCACGAAGUGUGCCCUUGUAGGUAUAUUACUAUAGACCACAUACUCCAACGAACGUACAGAGCGCAAAAGCUGUUCCGCCCAAAUUGAAAUCAACUCAAAUGCCUACGUAAUGCUACUAUUAUUAUCAAUAUCCAACUGGCAAUGACUUGAACAAAUGGCUGCAACAAGCUGCAAGGAAGCGAUAGCCAGGUGGGAGCAGAACAAUAAUCAGCAGGCAAUCGAAGCUAAAGUCAUAGAGCUUCAAUUCCAAUUUCCACCAAUAGCGAAGAUGGAUGGAGCUCUCUCUACACUUGUCAAUUGCGAGAAACUGAGUCUUUCGUCCAACAUGAUAGACAAAAUAGCAGGAAUUGGUGGUAUGAAAAACCUCAAGAUUAUCUCCUUGGCACGCAACAAUAUCAAAAGUUUAUCUGGAAUUGAGGCAGUAGCUGCCACACUCGAAGAACUGUGGAUCAGCUACAAUCUAAUAGAUAAACUAAAAGGAAUUAAUGUUAUGCAAAAAUUGAAAGUAUUUUAUAUCUCAAAUAAUCUUAUCAAAGAGUGGGCGGAAGUGGUUAGAUUGCAGGAAUGUCCGAACCUUAAAGAUGUAGUAUUGAUGGGAAAUCCAAUUAUGGAGGCUCAACCAGACAUUGACUCAUGGCGCAAGGACGUUACAACGAGGUUAAAAAACAUAAUUAAACUUGAUGGCAUACCCAUCGUCAGAGAAGAAGAUUAGAAACUGCCAACAAGGAUAUGUCUACUAUGACAUUUUACAGCGCCGUGUAUAACUGAAUGAUCGAUGCAAAAGUCGUGAAUGACAAUCAAAGAAGCCAUCGCCAAGUGGGAGAAAGAUAAAGGCGAAACGGCAACUGAGGCAUUAACAAUAGAGCUGCAAUUUCAAUGGCCACCGAUAGAAAAAAUGGACGGCGCUCUCUCUACACUCACAAACUGCGAGUAAGUAACUAAAGUACCUGCUGCCUAUGGUAUCGGCUAACUGGUACUAAUUUUCUUGAGUUAGAUUAACACUAUUACGUAUUUACAUUUCAACUGAGUGGCUACGGGUCACUCGCUCUGU